CCUACAUCCUCAGCGAAGCGGUCAUAGCUCGACUCCAAAACUCGUGAUCUCCAAGAGCGAGAAAUCCAAGAGAAGGCUUUUCUCCCUUUCUGACAUUUCAGUAACAUGGGACAAGAGGCACUACAGGAGAUCAUCAUCACCAUGGCCAGAGGACAUCAAUUCAGGUGUACACACGAUCAGACAUAUUUUGUGUAACAAGAAAAUUGCACCAUUUUUGUCAAAGAGAUGCUCGCUUCAUCACGCUCUUAAUUUGCUUCUGAGCACAGAUUCAUAAUAACCAUGACAGUGUGUUUUCACUCACCAGC
This is a non-coding RNA of Lonchura striata (white-rumped munia), 305 nucleotides long. The record is from RefSeq and is a predicted model, not a curated record. NCBI's taxonomy places the organism in Eukaryota, Metazoa, Chordata, Aves, Passeriformes, Estrildidae.